GGUAGCAUAAUCAUUAGUCUUUUAAUUGGAGACUGGUAUGAAUGGCUAAACGAGAGAUCAACUUUUUUUACCGUAGAAAUUGAAUUUAACUUUUUAGUGAAAAGGCUAAAAUUUUUCAGAAAGACGAGAAGACCCUAUAGAGUUUUAUAAAGGACUAAUACUUUUUAUUUGGAUUUUUAUAAAAAAUAUUAAUAAAUUUAUUUUGUUGGGGCGACAUUUAGAUAAAAAAAACUCUUUAUAAGAAAAAUUUUUAUGAAAAUAUGGAUUGAUCCUUUAAAAAAGAUCAUAAGAAAAAAUUACCUUAGGGAUACAGCGUAAUCUUUUUUGAGAGUUCUAAUCGACAAGAAGGUUUGCGACCUCGAUGUUGGACUAAAAUUAGGGCAGGGU
This 387-nucleotide ribosomal RNA is filed under the name Chelonibia caretta. Its description in RNAcentral is "partial 16S ribosomal RNA". It matches the Rfam family "Archaeal large subunit ribosomal RNA", at positions 2032 to 2625 of the family's 2987-position model. Lineage: Eukaryota; Metazoa; Arthropoda; Thecostraca; Balanomorpha; Chelonibiidae. The record is from RNAcentral.